GCCCGCUUGGCUAAGCGGUAUAGCGUGUCACUAGUAAUGACAAGGUGAUCAGUUCGACUCUGAUAGUGGGCA
This 72-nucleotide transfer RNA is filed under the name Trichoderma reesei QM6a. Its description in RNAcentral is "tRNA-Thr (AGT) (tRNA-Thr-AGT-1 1 to 7)". It matches the Rfam family "tRNA". Rfam says of the family: Transfer RNA (tRNA) molecules are approximately 80 nucleotides in length. Their secondary structure includes four short double-helical elements and three loops (D, anti-codon, and T loops). RNAcentral also lists the same sequence under 3 other names. Lineage: Eukaryota; Fungi; Ascomycota; Sordariomycetes; Hypocreales; Hypocreaceae. The record is from RNAcentral.